This 5374-nucleotide long non-coding RNA is filed under the name Homo sapiens (human). The record is from RNAcentral. Lineage: Eukaryota; Metazoa; Chordata; Mammalia; Primates; Hominidae.
GAGUGUUCCGGAGAGCACGUGUUAGGGAAGGAGGAGGCUGCGGGCUAACCUGCCGGGAGGGAGGGAUAAACUGGUAAACACCUCUUGGGUUCCAAGAGAAGGAAGAGGACACAUACUGCUCUUCAGAUCCGUAUACUGAUCCCCACUACAACCAGUGAACCGGAACAUUGAAUCUGGAUAGGGGGCCCUGGUGACUAAGAUGGCACGCUCUAAAGAUCUAGGGCACUCUCUUGGCCCUGUUUUGCAUCCUAUGCAGGCUGUGUGUACACAGCAAGGAUAUUUCCUGGAGGGAAUUCAUGAAACAGCACUACCUAAGUCCAAGCCAAGAAUUCAGAAAAUACAAAUGCAACGUCCUCAUGAGGGAAAAAGAAGCUCUGAAAGACAAGAGCUCUUGGGUGUUCAUCUAUACCUCAUGGUACAAAUGGAGCAUAUAUGCGUCAAUGACAACUGAAAUGACCGCUACAGAAAUGUAUGUAUAUAGGCCCAGAAUGCCCUGAAAGAACUCAGUUGUCACCAGGAGAAUUCAAAAAAAAGCAACACAUUGUCUGGGUGCAGUGGCCAUAACUAUAUUCCCAACACUUGAGGCCAGGAGUCAAGACCAGCCUGGGCAACAUAGCCAGACCCCAUCUAUACAAAAAAAUAAAAUAAAAUUACCUGACAUAAUGAUGCACAUGUGUAGUCCUAACUAGUGGGGAGGCCGAGGCAGGGGAAUUGCUUGAACCCUGGAGAUUGAGGUUGCUGUGAGCCAUGAUCACACCACUACACUCCAUCCCAGGAAGCAGAGCAAGACCCUGUCUCUUUUUUUUUUUUUUUUUUUUUUUGAGACGGAAUUUCGCUCUUGUCGCCCAGGCUGGAGUGCAAUGGCACAAUCUGGGCUCACUGCAACCUCCACCUCCUGGGUUCAAGCGAUUCUCCUGUCUCAGCCUCCCGAGUAGCUGGGAUUACAGACACCCACCACCACGCCUGGGUAAUUUUUGUAUUUUUAGUAGAGACGGGGUUUCACCAUGUUGGCCAAGCUGAUCUUGAGCUCCUGAUCUCAGGUGACACCUUGGCUUUCCAAAGUGCUGGGAUUAUAGGUGUGAGCCACUGCACCCAGCCAACCCUGUCUCUUUAAAAAAAAAAAAAAAAAAAAAACUACCCAGAGAGCAGAAGUUUCAACUACAUUGAAUUCCACUAACGCGGAUGAGUAGGUUGAUAGCACAGAGGACCUGAAGAUGAUGAGCCUGUCAACUACUAGAAGGUCUACCCACAUCCCCAAAUUUUGCUACAGUAUUCUGUGCUUGCCAAGCAGUGGCCCCGUCUACAUCAUUCGCCCCUGCCACUCUCUCCUUUGCAUUUAUGUAUCAAUGUUUUCAAACUACUUAGAGUUAUGUAUCACAUGGUCUCUUGAUACCAUACCUUUGCCUGUGUUGUUUCUCUGCCUGGAAUACACUUCUGUCCUAUUUACCUAAUUUACUCCUACUUUUUUUCCCCAAGAUUCAGCUUAUAUGCCAUCUCUUCUUGACUAACCCAAGACUUUUUCUGAUAACAAUUCUCCUUAUAUCUACCCAAGCUGAAUGAUCUUCCCUUCCUUUAAAUAAAUUAUAUUAUAUCAAAAAGAAUUUUUCUUUAGAGAAAUCAAAGAUGAUCUAAAUACAUGGAGGGAUCAGGCAUGAUGGCUCACACCUAUAAUCCCAGCACUUUGGGAGGAGGAGGCAGGAGGAUCGCUUGAGCCCACGAGUUCAAGGCCAGCCUAGGCAACAUAAUGACACCCAUCUUUAUUUAAAAAAAAAUUUUUUAAAUAAAAAAUAGGCCGGGUGCAGUGGCUCAUACCUGUAACUCCCGCACUUUGGGAAGCCAAGACAGGCAAAUCACCUGAGGUCAGGAGUUCAAGACCAGCGUGGCCAACAUGGUGAAACCCCAUCUCUACUAAAAAUACAAAAAUUAGCUUGGUGUGGUGGUGCACACCUGUAAUCCCAGCUACAUGAGAAGCUGAGGCAGGAGAAAUGCUUGAACAGAAAAGACACAGAAAAAGAUGUUCAUAGCAGCAUUCUUUGUAAAAGCCCCAAACUGUAAAUAAUCCAAAUAACCAUCAAAAAUAGAAUAUUAUGGCAUGUUCAUGCAGUGUAAUACCAUGCAGUAAUACAUACGAAUGAACCAAAGCUCUUUGCAAAACCUGAAUGAAUCUCACAAAAAUAAUGUUGAAUAAAAUAAAUCAGAAAUGUUACAAUUUCAUUGAUAUAAGCUUCAAAAACCAGCAAAGUGACACUCUGUUGUUACGGAUGCAUGUUUAGGGAGCAAAACUAAGAAAAGCAAAUGAGGUUACCUUAAGGGGUAGCAGUUACUUUAUGGGGGAGGAAGGAGUAUCCAUUAGAAAGUAGCACAAGGGGAAUCUCUGGAGUGCUGACAGUGAUCUAUUUUUUGACCUGGGUGUUGGUUACAGGGUGUUCAUUUAUUAUCAUUUACUUGGCUGUACAUUUUUUUUUUUUUUAGACAGAGUCUCGCUCUGUCACACAGGCUGGAGUACAGUGGUGUGAUCUCGGCUCACUGCAACCUCCACCUCCUGGGUUCAAGUGAUUCUCCUGCCUCAGCCUCCUGAGUAGCUGGGAUUACAGAUGCCCGCCACCACGCCCAGCUAAUUUUUUGUAUUUUAGUAGGGAUGGGGUUUCGCCAUGUUGGCCAGGCUGGUCUCGAACUGCUGACCUUGAGUGAUUGACCCACCUUGGCCUCCAAAAGUGCUGGGAUUACAGGCGUGAGCCACUGCUCCCAGCCUUAGCUGUACAUUUUUGUUUUGCAUAAUUUUCUAUAUGUGUGCUAAAUUUCACUAUGAGAAACGAUUUUUGGCUGGGCACAGUGGCUCACAUCUGUAAUCCCAGCACUUUAGAAGGCGAGGUGGGUAGAUCACCUGAGGUCAGGAGUUCGAGACCAGCCUGACCAACAUGGUAAAACCCCAUCUCUACUAAAAAUACAAAAAUUAGCUGGGCGUGGUGGCAGGCACCUGUAAUCCUAGCUACUGGGGAGGCUGAGGCAGGAGAAUCGCUUGAACCCAGGAGGCGGAGGUUGCAGUGAGCUGAGAUCGCACCACUGCACUCCAACCUGGGCAACAGAGCGAGACUCUGGCUAAAAAAAAAAAAAAAAAAAUCUUUUUACGGUGGCUCAUGCUUGUAAAUUUAGCACUUUGGGAGUCUGAGGCGGCUGGAUUGCUUGAUUUCAGGAGUUGGAGACCAGCCUGGGCAACAUGGCGAAACCCCGUCUCUACCAAAAACACCGAAAAUUAGCCCGGCAUGGUGGUGAACGCCUGUAGACCCAGCUACUGGGGAUGCUGACAUGGGAGGAUCACUUGAGCCUGGGAGGUGAACUGAGGUUGUGUCACUGUACUCCAUCCUGGGUAACAGAGUGAGACUGUCUCAAAAAAAAAAAAAAAGAUAAAAAUAAUGUUUUGUAUGAAAGGAGAGAACGUCAGCACUCCUCUUGACAAGGAUGGAAGAGGCUCUCAGACCUGACAACAUGCAUGAAGUUAAGGCAUUGCCACCUACUUCAUGGCAUCUAAACAUGUUGUUGUGGUGGUUGUUUUUUAAAGACAGAGCCUACUUGAUACCUAUAUACAUAUAGAAACAUUAACUCAAGGUGAGUUGUAAACCUAAAUGCAAGAACUAAAGCUCUAAAAUUCAGAAGAAAACAUAUGAGUGCCAGGUGCGGUGGCUCACGCCUGUAAUCCCAGCACUGUGGGAGGCCGAGGCCGGCGGAUCACCAGCGCAAGAGAUCGAGACCAUCCUGGCUAACAUGGUGAAACCCCGUCUCUACUAAAAAUACAAAAAAUUAGCCGGGCGUGGUGGCGGGCGCCUGUAGUCCCAGCUACUCGGGAGGCUGAGGCAGGAGAAUGGCGUCAACCCGGGAGGCGGAGCUUGCAGUGAGCCGAGAUUGCGCCACUGCAUUCCAGCCUGGGAAACAGAGCAAGACUCCGUCUCAAAAAAAAAAAAAAAAAAAAAAAAAGGAGUGAAUCUUUGUGACCUUGGAUUAAGCAGUGGUUUCUUAGAUAUAAAAGCACAAACAGUGAAGAAAAAAAGAUAAAUUGAAUUUAACUCAUUUUAUUUUAAUUCAAUGGAUAAAUUGGACUUAAACCAAUUUAACACUUUUGUGUUUCAAAGGACGCCAUCAAGAAAGGCAACCCAUGGAAUUGGAGAAGAUAUUUGCAAAUUAUAUAUUUGAUAAGGGACUAGUGUCUGGAAUAUAUAUAAAACUCUUACAACUCAACAAUAAAAGGACAAUUAACCCCAUUUUUAAAAGGGCAAAGGGGAAACAAGGGGCUGAAAAUGAGCUCAAAUUUAUUUUUUUCAGACAGGGUAUUUCUCUGUCAUCCAAGGCUGGAGUACAGUAGCACGAUCAUGGCUCACCACAGCCUCAACCUCCCAGGCUGAAGUGAUCCUCCCACCUCAGCCUCCCAAGUAGCUGGAACUACAGGCGUGCGCCACUAUAUCUGGAACUCCUGGGCUCAAGCAAUCCUCCUGCUUCAGCCUCCCAAAGUGCUGAAGGAUUACAGGUGUGAGCCACUGCGCCUGGUUUUAAACGUAUGAAAGAAGAUGAGUAAAUAACAGUAAAGCCCUGGGUUGUGAAGAUGUAAUAAUACAAAAAGCAGAGAGAAGGCAGGAUGUUUGACUCCUGACUGUUCCAUCAAGGACUGUAGUCUGGAAAAUAAAUAUUUUGAAGGUGAAAAAUUAAAGCUCAUAUUAGGAUAAAAGACUAUCAGAGAGCACUGAGUUGUCUUAAAUUAAGUCAAGCCUCCUAACCCCAAUAAAACACAUCAUAGUGCCAAAUAAAGUUAAAAAUCCAGCCAGGCGUGGUGGCUCACGCCUGUAAUCCUAGUACUUUGGGAGGCCCAGGUGGGUGGAUCUCUUUCAGCUCAGGAGUUCAAGACCAGCCUGGGCAACACGGUGAAAUUCCAUCUCUACAAAAAAUACCAAAAUGAGCUGGGUGUGGUGGCUCAUGCCUGUGGUUCCAGCUGCUCAGGAGGCUGAGGCUGGAGGGUUGCUUGAAAUGGGUGGCAGAGGUUGCAGUGAGCUGAGAUCACGUCACUGCACCCCAGCCUGGGCAACAGAGUGAGACCUUGUCUGAAAAACAAAUAAAUAAAUAUAUAAAUAUAUAAAUAAAAUAAAGUUAAAAAUCUGAAAAAAUAAAACGGGUAAAUUAUUUCAAUCAAUAUUUCUCUAAGGAAUAUAUACAAAUGGCCAAUAUGCACAUAAAAAUAUUCUCAACAUCAUCAGUCAUCAAAGAAAUGCAAAUCAAACCAGUGAUGUGAUACUACUUCUCAGCCACUAAGAUGGCUAAUAUUAAAAAGACAGAUAGGCCGGGCACAGCGGCUCAUGCCUGUAAUCCCAGCACUUUGGGAGGCCGAGGC